Molecule: long non-coding RNA, 6703 nt
Organism: Cuculus canorus (common cuckoo)
Lineage: Eukaryota; Metazoa; Chordata; Aves; Cuculiformes; Cuculidae
Exons: 3
Source: RefSeq, a predicted model, not a curated record
GAUGAAGCAAAUACGGAACUUCCUCUCGAAAGCCAAAACCAACAAUGAUUGAGAUGGGCGAUUGCGGUCCACAGAUCCAUUUGGCUGAUAGCAGGCAGAUCAGUCUGGAGACAUGACUGGACAAGAAGAACUAAUUGAUACACAAGGUUGGAAACAUUUGCAGUGAAAACUCUUCUCAGGGGAGAUUGGAAAUGAUUCUCCUCCUCAUGCCACCUACUUGGGAAAGGUGAGAGAGUUACUGUGUACUGCCUAGCUGCCAAAUAAGGGCUAAAUUACAACACAGGUCCACCCCCCGUGCAUGGCUACGCUCAUUCCAAAGUAUUUCUCUCUUCCCCUGGAAGAACAUUUCUUCUGCCUCUCAAGAAAAAGCCUCACUUCAUCCACAAAGUGUUGCUGACCUUUUGACAGUUAGCAAAGAGAUGAGUCUUGGAUGAUUGACUUCCUGCGCUACAUCAGGGACAAAGCAAAUAAACAGUCCCUCGCUUGGGAGAGACAGUUCACAUAGCACCCAAAGCCCAAGCAAUGCACUCAUCCUGGUUACCUGGAGUCAUUUGCAGCCCACAGUCUGCCUAGGUUACAACAGAAUGAAUAGUUCUUCAUUCCUUUGAUUUUUAGAGAGCUUUGGCUCAAAUUUCUUGCUGUGAGCACAGCAUUGUACGUAUCUUGGUGAAAGCUGGGCUUACAAAGUACUCCUUCUGCUGUGUGAGACACUUCAUUAACUGCUGGGGAAAGAUGGGAAUGGUACAGUAGAGAUGAAGGGCAGGUCUGCGUUUCAGUGAUGGAAUUGCAAUUAGCAGCUUCAAUUGUCUGUAGGAAGAAAACGUGGCAAGUUGGAAUGUUUUCAGAGCUUGCUAUUAGGAGGAAAAAAGCAAAGGAGAGAGAGGGAAAAAAAAGGAAGAAAAGGAACAAGUCCAGGUCACAAAUAUAAUAGAAGAGAACAUGAAGUCAGCUUUUCCUGUCUUGUUGUUAUACAAGGCUUUUCUGUGUCUGCCAGAAAGCUGCUUCACAGCAGAAGUAACCCAUAUUACUUCUUUAUUUUUUAAACAAAAAGAAAGUCACCAAUUAAAAUGACUUGAGUUUAUUUCAGCACUUUGUGCUCUGGGAGGCUCAUUGAUUGGAAGGGAAGGCACAAGGUAGUCGGCUCUGCUGUGAAACAAUACAGUCCUUUCAAGUACGUUCUACUUGCCCCGCUUUUGUCAGAAAAUAUUUCAAAUCACAGAUACGAAAUGUAUAGCAGAGACUCAAGAGAUCACCUAAUCCAUCCCUCCAGCCCAGCGGCUGUUCCAUGGACAUGUUUUUCUUUGUAGUUCAUGAAACCCUUCUGCAGGAGUCAUCACACUUUCCUGAACUACCUCACUCCUAAUUCUCCUGGUAUCUAAUUUAAAUCUCCUUUGUUGUAGUUUAAGAGUUUAUGCUCACUGCUUUUGCUCUGUCCCUAAUUGACACAAGACAAUGUCAUAUCAUGGAAUCAGGAAGAUGUUGGGUGAACAGCCUCCUGUUCAAAGCAGGGCUAACUCCGAUGUCAAGGCAGGGGGCUUUUCUCACUCAGUGACAACUGUUAACUCAUUUGAAUAUUACUACCUGGUUUUCUCUCCUUUUCUUUAAACACUUUGGCAUCAAUUCUUUGAAUCUUUUUCAUACAUCACAUUUCCUAGACCAUGUUUAUUAGUCAUUGUUGUGUUGUUAGUUGUAGCUGUAUAUCUGAGGGAUUCUCUCAUACAUACAUGUGCACCCAGACACAAACACGUGCAAACACAGCUAAUUUUAAUGAUUAGAGCAAAAGAAGCAGAAGCCUUUCCUUGGCAAAAUGACUGGGUAAAAUCCUUAAUUCUGCAUACUGGGAGUAACAAACUGAGUUGUGCAAUGUGAAGUGCAAUGAAAGAUUAGAUGCAAUAGAUUAUCCGGGCACUGGAAACAUAUAUGUCAUGUAGUAUGACGGAUGAAACAUGGUUAUUGGUAUAACAACAGAGCAUAUGCUUGGCUUUCACCAUUUCAGCAGUACUUGCUGAAAGGUCUCCCAAAUCUCAUUUCAAACUGUAUUUACCUACUAGCCUGGCUGGCAUUGUUGUGACUUUGACCUUCAGCAUGAUUUUAACCGGAUAUCCCAGGCAGCCUUUCAGCAUCCCUAUGUUCACCGCUAAUAAGAUUUUGAAGAAAUGGACUAUGAAGAGGAGCUGGUGCUGCUUGCAGGAUCACCAACCAGGUUGCGCAUUGGAGCCUGGCUGUGAGCAGCAGGGAUCACUUCUAUUUGUUGACUGGCGUAGCUGGGCAGAUAUCUUGAUGGAUAGGAAGACUGGUCCAUAGUAAUGUGUUUGAACAUAGCUCUGAAAACUCAUAAAUAAUCAAGGAAACCAAACUGCACUGCUAGUUUAUUUAUCUGGGAGCCUACUUCUCUGCAAAAGCUUCCUUGCCCUAACUUGGCCCAGGAGCCAUGCUACGAUGAAACUACUUCUAAGAGAUAAUGUUAUUUUAAUAUUUGCCUACUUGUAGAGUGUUAGAUGUUGUGGAGACACAGGGUAGGGAAUUUAGUGAUCACAAACUGAGCUUAAAUAAAGGAUAAUAGAAUGAUACAAGGGAACUUAGUGCUACGAGGAUAUAAAUCUUGCAAAGCAAUGAAAACUACUUAAUGCUUGCAUGGUUUUAGGGAGCUGCUAUUGCACAGGAGUGUUGUAAAAAGGACUCAAGAAAAAUGGUUAGGCAACUUUCAUAAAUUAAACCAAUUCCGGAUGCUGUUCUUUAAGGAACAUAUUUGUCACUUGGAUUUUAAACAAUCUCAGACACAACUCCUUGUACAGUUACUAUGCCAAUAAUAUGUGGGUUGGUGUUGUCAUGCUUUUAAUGGGUAGAUAUUUUCACUUUUAUCUUACUUGUAAUGUUGUUAUUAGAAAGCUUUGACCAGAAUGGUUAUAUUCUACCUGUAGCAUGUCCUGGGUGUCUGGGUACUUAUAGGACAUCCUUGAAAAGGGAAUUAAGAAAAGAAAGUUUAUUUACCAUUGGCUCAGAUCACUGCAGCGGGUUUCACAUGCUGCCACUGGAAUACUGUUAGACACCUGCAAACCAAAAAAAAAAAAAAAUCACUAGUUGAAAAAUCACUAGUGUAGAAUGAAUAAGCAGGAAAAAAGUUCAACUUCUUGUUUACAUUUUUCCCAGCAGAUGUUCAGUUGUUGAGACACCAAAGCCACCGGAUGCUGGAAGAGUCAUUUAUUCUGUAUCGUUGCCCCUGGGGGUGCCACCAAGCUGGGCUGGAGGCGGCAGCAGCUGCUAUAUCUUGGUGGGGUACUCAGAGUAAUGACUGUCAUUUGCUGGACGGGUGGAAGUCACGGUGGUCUUCUGCUCAGUCACCACCUGGUCCCUGUCAUAUGCCACAGAGAUUGAUAUAAAUCAAACUCUGUCUGCCGCGGGGGCCUUGAGAAAACAAAUUGAUGUUUUAAAGCACAAGAAAGGAAAUGUCAGCGAUGCAGUCCUAACAGUCUACCAGUGCGCUGGGGGGUUAUCAUGCUACUUGGGUUGAAUACUGAAGGAAGUCAUCCACUAGUAGGGGUAGGUCUGGAAGCAUAACUAGAAGAAUAAAGUCUAAAUCAAAGGCCAGUGCAAGACAACAACACAUCUUCCCUUAUUGUACAUAGGGGUGGUGAGAUCUGGCAUGAAAUAACAGCUAGGGUAAGGGAUGGACUCUGCCUAUGAAGAUAUGCAGACCAGACGCCGCCUAAGAAAAUAACUUGUAGGAAACAACCAGGGCUUCCAGGAGACAGGAGACCUUUAUGCUCAGAGACCUCAAUCACAUAUCUCAUUUUGAUUUGGUAAACUUUGACAAGCAGGAGGAUCCACCGAUAUCAUCAGCCUUUUUGCUGAUGGCCUAGAUUUGCUUCUUUUCUUGUUUAUUACUAAACUAGCCUCAAAAUGUGUCACCAUUGUUAAGGUUAAUCUCUUGGAACUGGUCUCAGUGGUGGGAGAGCAGAAAACCUGCAGAAUAGUGGAUGUUUACACCUCUUGGCAAAGUCAGGGCAGAUAUGGGGUUUUGUGUCAAGUAUUAAGCAGGACAUCCAGAAGUUUUUCUUCAAAUUGAAAAUAAAACUGAUGAAGCAUACUCUAUGGAGUGCAUUUUCCAGGACUCCCAUUUUCUACUGUGUGAUAUCUGCUACCUGUCAACAAGAUGCAAAAAAUACCUUAUCCCAUCCCUGGAAGAAGAUUAGCCAGAGUAGUUAGUGACUGUUAUGAAUUUCUUUCUACAAAUGAAAUUUUCUUUCAACUGAAUUCUCCCAAUGAAAGGGACAGGCACAGAUGAUUCUAGUGGGAUGUGUCUUGUGGGUGUUGGAACUAGAUGAUCUUUAAGGUCCCUUCCAAACCAAACUAUUCUAUGAUUCUAUGAUUCAGCUGCAACCAGAUCUACAUUCAUUUUUCCCCUCUCUGCAAAACAAAACAAAAGAAGAAAGCAGGAAAAAUAAGUAAUUUCUAUCUUGAUCAGUCUGGAUUAAUAAGUUCCCUAGUAUAAAUCACUUGCAGAGCAUUAAUUUUUAUGCCAGUCAAGGAAAAUUAAGUGGCCUAAUCACAUUACAUGUUCACCGUUACAGGAACUGUGGAGCUUUUCCUGCAUUUGGUUGGAGGCUAUUCCAUUUGGCUGGACUCUUUUGAUACUGCUUUGCCUGUGCAUGCAAUUAAAGGACUUUUUUUUAUUAACCAGUUUUUACAUUACACUCAGUGGCCCCGUCACACAACUAAAUGACCCGUUUAACAAGCAUGAUAAAAUCCUCAUUAGGGCCUAUUAUAGGAUUUAGUGGAAUCUUCCUGCCUCACUACUGCACAAGCCUUAUCUAAUUAACUCCGCCACUUAAUUCUCUCCCUCCCUUUUCUUGCUGUUUAUUGGGCUUUAUUGGAAAACAGAUCCAAAGAACACAAUUAAUGUAAUUUAUCCUGGAAAAUCCCCAAACAUUAGCACGCUGCAAAUGGAAAUGGAAAAGGCCUCACAGAGUUCAAGCAUAGUAGGCAAUUACUCCAGAAGUACAGCACUGAGUAUUAUCGUGUAACUUCUUACUACACUUUCCCAAGAGGAGCAAGGAGGUAAUUCUAGCCAAGAACGUUUAAAACAAUAAUUAAAGGUCAUAUUUGUGUUUGAGCAGCUUUCAUAUUUAAUUGAGGAAAAGUGCGUGCCUUCAAGAAUGAGAUGUUUUUUCUAGGAUGUGCAGUACAGAAAGGAAUGGAAUGUUGUGUUCAUUGGUAUAAAUGUAGAGCAGCUUCCAGUUAUAAAGUCUUGUGCAGUAUUUUGCAGCCAGAUUUGCACCAGAAGACAGAAUUCAGCCACAAGAGGUAGCUAUUUUUUUUUUCAUGGCAGCAAUGUGUAGAACAUUUAUGAAACACAAGAUGUGCCACAAUACCACUGUUGACCAAUAAGCAUGGGAUAGACACUUGGGAAGACAUUACCAUGCUAUCCUGCUUUUUUCACGCUCUGAAACCUUUAAUUUGCAAUGCUGUUAGUCUUUUUCAUAAGGUGUGGUUAACUCCUACCAGAUCCCAAGACAUCACAGGCUAAUUACACUGCACCUGAGAUGGCCAACUAGUCCCAGGGGCGCCCUGAGGAGUUGGAGGCUGACCUUGGUAUGCAGAAAUUAAAAUCUAAUUGGUUGUUGGGACUCUUAGUUAGAUUCCAGUAAGGUGAGAUUGCUGUCGGAAUGAAAAAGUUCUGACACUUCUGUGUUACCUUUACCUAGUAGUUAAGAUAGGUGUAGAGGGUGACUAAGUUUCUAUAAGAAAUCAGAGUAAUCUCCACCCAGUAUGGGAUCAUGGUACAAGAUGCAUGUGGGUGUGCUCCAGAGGUGGGUGGUGAUGCAGAGAGGUACAGGUCUUGUCUAGCUCUUCAUUUUAGCAGAUUUAUGUGAGCGUUUGUGUUUAUAUGCACCUAAGAAGGACAAAGAAGCUAAAUUAACCCCUUGGAGAUGGACAAUAGGAAGAAAAAGAUAAGACACAGGCCCAGAAUACAGUGAGAGGAAAGCAGAGGAUGAGUGAGUAUUUUUCAUUCAAAAAUGUCCAACAAGAGCCUAAAGACAGGCACAAAGGGUUGUCCAGUUCAUCUCUUACUCAGCAGAAGCUGAUUUCACGCAUACUUGUAAAUGAACCAUGCGUGGACCUCGACUUCCUCCUCUGGGAAGAAAUUAACCAAAUGUCUUGGCUAAACUGGGCAGUAGCCAAGUGUGACAAACAAAUAAUUGCACAGGAUGCACGAAGCACAGGAUGAAGCAAGGCUCAGUCCACAUCUCCUGUUUUUCUCUGAACUGACAGAGGAGGGUUUUUUAACCUUGCAUUGAUUUGUCCUCUUUUGAAUUUGUCAGAUCAGGGCUAUUGCCCUUUGGGCAAUGAGCUUCACACCACACUGAGCGGUAAGAUGGAAUUUGCAUUAUACAGGGCAUUGGCAUGCCAUUCCUUUGGGGUUCCUAGUAUUUGAUGCUAUAAAUCUUUCUUGUUAACUUGCACCUGGGUUUUUGGAAGCUUGAUUCUCAGGGAAGUUCAAACUUGAUUUCAUUGACUUUGGCAAGCUUUUGAAAAAUUUGCCAUAGUCCGCUGUUGCUGUUCCUUCAGAAGGCCCCAGCUCUUGUCCACCUUCUUUAGUACAGCUGUCUCUGUGGGCAAGAAAUCGGAAGGAUGCAGCCUAGGCACAAUUAGACAGGCACUGAAACUCUAGAAGGAAGGACCGGAAGAAAAGCUGAGUUAU